UACGGAGGGUCCAAGCGUUGUUCGGAUUUAUUGGGCGUAAAGCGAGUGUAGGCGGCAUAGCAAGUCGGAUGUGAAAUCCCAGGGCCCAACCCUGGAACUGCAUCCGAUACUGCUAGGCUAGAAUUCCGGAGAGGGUGGCGGAAUUCCCGGUGUAGGGGUGAAAUCCGUAGAUAUCGGGAGGAACACCAGUGGCGAAGGCGGCCACCUGGACGGUAAUUGACGCUGAGACUCGAAAGCGUGGGUAGCAAAC
RNAcentral lists this ribosomal RNA (250 nucleotides) under uncultured bacterium. RNAcentral's name for it is "partial 16S ribosomal RNA". It matches the Rfam family "Bacterial small subunit ribosomal RNA", at positions 524 to 773 of the family's 1533-position model. The record is from RNAcentral.